CAAAUAUUUACAAAAAUGUGAGGGGUGUACUCACUUUUGUGAUAUACUGUAUAUAAGAGAGAUGAACAGAGAGCUAAUGCAUUAUAGUUCAGUUAUUUUGUGUACAGUUCAGAGAUGGCUUGAUGUGGUGUGCAGCGUAGAGUGUAUUAUCCUUUAGUCUCUAUGGACCAGGUGGUCAGUUGGUGAGGGCCACAGCAUAGUCCUUUAGUCUCUAUGGACCAGGUGGCCAGUUGGUGAGGGCCACAGCAUAGUCCUUUAGUCUCUAUGGACCAGGUGGUCAGUUGGUGAGGGCCACAGCAUAGUCCUUUAGUCUCUAUGGACCAGGUGGUCAGUUGGUGAGGGCCACAGCAUAGUCCUUUAGUCUCUAUGGACCAGGUGGUCAGUUGGUGAGGGCCACAGCAUAGUCCUUUAGUCUCUAUGGACCAGAAGGCCAGUUGGUGAGAGCCACAGCAUGGUCCUUUAGUCUCUAUGGACCAGGUGGCCAGUUGGUGAGAGCCACAGCAUAGUCCUUUAGUCUCUAUGGACCAGAUGACCAGUUGGUGAGGGCCACAGCAUAGUCCUUUAGUCUAUAUGGACCAGGUGGCCAGUUGGUGAGGGCCACAGCAUAGUCCUUUAGUCUCUAUGGGCCAGGUGCCAGUUGGUGAGGGCCACAGCAUAGUCCUUUAGUCUCUAUGGGGCAGAUGGUCAGUUGGUGAGGGCCACAGCAUAGUCCUUUAGUCUCUAUGGGCCAGGUGCCAGUUGGUGAGGGCCACAACAUGGGGAAAGAAACUGUUCAUAUGGGGGUCUAUAACAUCUAAUCACAGCAUCUGACAGUUGCAACUUCAUUGCUAAUAACUGCCUUAUUUAUAUAAAGACAUCAUCUCUGUACAGAUGUAAGAUCUGAAUUUGAUCAACCUGUCACAGGAAAACUAAAAUGUGUACUAUAUUUGAGUGUAUUUAAAUAAAGCUUUAAAAAAGGUUUCUGAAGAUGAUAAAUUACACUUUUCCAUUUUAAAAUGGUUCAUUAAUUA
This is a long non-coding RNA of Oncorhynchus tshawytscha (Chinook salmon), 1010 nucleotides long. Lineage: Eukaryota; Metazoa; Chordata; Actinopteri; Salmoniformes; Salmonidae. The record is from Ensembl.